RNAcentral lists this ribosomal RNA (423 nucleotides) under uncultured bacterium. RNAcentral describes it as "bacterial SSU rRNA". It matches the Rfam family "Bacterial small subunit ribosomal RNA", at positions 354 to 774 of the family's 1533-position model. The record is from RNAcentral.
GUAAGGAAUAUUGGACAAUGGAGGCAACUCUGAUCCAGCCAUGCCGCGUGAAGGAAUAAGGCCCUAUGGGUUGUAAACUUCUUUUAGACGGGACAAAACCCCUUUACGUGUAAAGGGUUGAUGGUACUGUCAGAAUAAGUCUCGGCUAACUACGUGCCAGCAGCCGCGGUAAUACGUAGGAGGCAAGCGUUAUCCGGAAUUACUGGGCGUAAAGGGCGUCUAGGUGGGACGUCAAGCGGGGUGUGAAAGCUCCUGGCUGAACUGGGAGAGUGCGCUCCGAACUGACGACCUAGAGGGCAGGCGACGGCGGUGGAAGUCCAGGUGGGGUGGUGAAAUGCGUAGAGAUCGGGAGGAACACCAGUGGCGAAGGCGGCCUCCGAGCCUGAACCUGACGCUGAAGCGCGAGAGCGUGGGGAGCAAACG